GGAUCACUUGAGUCCAGGAGUUUGAGACCAGUCUGGGCAACAUAGCAAGACUCCAUCUCUACAAAAAAUACAAAAAUUAGCCAGGAAGAAGAAAAUGACAGGUGCUAAGAGAGAGAGGAAAGGGACAUGCCAUAGAUGAUAAAGUACCUCAGUCUGCCACAAACACUUUGAACAUUAUAAGGAUCGCAAGGACUAAGUUGCACCGCAGACUGGACCAGCUGGAGAACCUUUUCUUCCUCUGAAUCUCACUCAAGUAUGGCUUCAUUUCAAGUGACCAGGUCACCACUUCCAGCCUGGCAACUUGGUGCUAAUUAAGACUUGGAAAGAAGACAAUCUCCACCCAAGCUGGGAAGGUUCCUAUCAAGUUCUCGUGAUCACUGAGACAGCCGUAGGAACAGCUGAACAGGGGUGGACACUCACACUCGGGUCAAGAGACUGGUAAAAGAAACCCCAGAAGGAAGGGAAAAAGAAACUUUGCUCUGGUGGAGGAGACAAACAUGGACACAUUGUGAGAGUUCCAGGAAGUGGCCACUUGGAGGUGGUAUCAAAGUGCUGUGGGAAUCCACUUGGGAUUGCUGGAGGAGAAGCCAGUUGCCAUAUUGUGAGGAUGCUCAAGCAACCUUAUGAAGAGGUCUACAUGGUGAAGAACUAAGGCCUACUACCAAAAACAAACACUAAUUUGCCAGACAUAUAAUCAGCUUCUGAUAACUAUAGAGAAAAGUACGGGCAGAAAGGAGAAAGUAAGCCAAGAGGGGAGCUGGAAGACAGGACCUACUGCCUUGGAAAGCCAUCGUGCUGUGAGGACUCUUCAUCAUUCCUCAAGGUACCUCUGCUUCCUUCCCUUAUUUCCCACUCCCUCCUAGGCACUCCACUGAACCUGCCCACCUCCACUUCUGCCAUCUCUGCCCACCUCUACUCCAAGCAUCUGGGCAUCCACACUCAGUUCACGUCAAAUCUGGGCAUAAUGAGUUUGAAGUCAGUUUUCAAAGUUGUAUUAAUAGAAUCUUUCUUUGGCCACCCAGGUUUUGGAGAAUUUGGUCAUCCUUCCACUUUAUGGACUGUGAAUUAUCUUGUGACCAAUGAUUUCUUCUUCCCACCUAGGUGUUACUUCACUUACCAACAAUUCCCCAAUUCCCCAAAGUGGAAGGAAAGAGACAAACUUGCACCUUUGACUCAUUUUUCAGAAACUAUGGUGUAAAGGUCUCUGGGAAACUGGAUGAAACUAAAGGGCCAUAUGAUAUUGUUUUCAUUUAUUUUUAUUUUUUAACCUGGAAAAUGUGAAAUGUGUAGAUGCAAUGCCAUACGAUGUUGAGGAAUUAUUUGUUUUAAAUUAUCUUUCCUCCUUUAUGUCCUGGGCAAAUAUUAAUUAGUUGGUUAUUUGUAACCAUCAGAAAGGAUCCUACUGAUGGCAUGACUCCUUUGCCAAACUUCUUAUCAAAAAUAAGGACUCUGGAACGUUAUGAAAAUAAGAGGUCUAUGGCCAUACCACCCUGAAAACACGCAAUCUUGUCUGAUCUUGGAAGCUAAGCAGGGUUGUGCCUGGUUAGUAUUUGGGUGGUCUAUAGGCUUCUGGCAUCCCACUCCCUCUUUCCCUUU
Pan troglodytes (chimpanzee) is the source of this 1596-nucleotide long non-coding RNA. RefSeq lists it as uncharacterized. NCBI's taxonomy places the organism in Eukaryota, Metazoa, Chordata, Mammalia, Primates, Hominidae. The transcript has 7 exons. The record is from RefSeq and is a predicted model, not a curated record.